GUGGGGAAUUUUGGACAAUGGGCGAAAGCCUGAUCCAGCCAUGCCGCGUGUGUGAAGAAGGUCUUCGGAUUGUAAAGCACUUUAAGUUGGGAGGAAGGGCAGUAAGUUAAUACCUUGCUGUUUUGACGUUACCGACAGAAUAAGCACCGGCUAACUUCGUGCCAGCAGCCGCGGUAAUACGAAGGGUGCAAGCGUUAAUCGGAAUUACUGGGCGUAAAGCGCGCGUAGGUGGUUUUGUAAGUUGGAGGUGAAAUCCCCGGGCACAACCUGGGAACUGCCUCCAGAACUGCAUGACUAGAGUACGGUAGAGGGUAGUGGAAUUUCCUGUGUAGCGGUGAAAUGCGUAGAUAUAGGAAGGAACACCAGUGGCGAAGGCGACUACCUGGACUGAUACUGACACUGAGGUGCGAAAGCGUGGGGAGCAAACAGGAUUAGAAACCCGAGUAGUCC
RNAcentral lists this ribosomal RNA (450 nucleotides) under uncultured bacterium. RNAcentral's name for it is "partial 16S ribosomal RNA". It matches the Rfam family "Bacterial small subunit ribosomal RNA", at positions 354 to 796 of the family's 1533-position model. The record is from RNAcentral.